ACUCGGCGUAAAGAGUGGUUAGAAAAACCCCCAAACUAAAGCCGAACGCCCUCACUACUGUUAUACGUAUUCGAGAGUAAGAAGCCCUACUACGAAAGUAGCUUUACUAAACUUGACCCCACGAAAGCUGUGACACAAACUGGGAUUAGAUACCCCACUAUGCUCAGCCGUAAACUUUGGCAGCCCCGUACACGUGCUGCCCGCCAGGUACUACGAGCAUCAGCUUGAAACCCAAAGGACUUGGCGGUGCUUAAGAUCCACCUAGAGGAGCCUGUUCUAGAACCGAUAACCCCCGUUAAACCUCACCCUCUCUUGUUUUUUCCGCCUAUAUACCGCCGUCGUCAGCUUACCCUGUGAAGGCCCCAUAGUAAGCAAAACUAGCA
RNAcentral lists this ribosomal RNA (383 nucleotides) under Auchenionchus microcirrhis. Its description in RNAcentral is "partial 12S ribosomal RNA". It matches the Rfam family "Bacterial small subunit ribosomal RNA", at positions 553 to 1107 of the family's 1533-position model. The record is from RNAcentral. Lineage: Eukaryota; Metazoa; Chordata; Actinopteri; Blenniiformes; Labrisomidae.